CGUGAGCUAUACAUGCAGUCGAACGCUUCUUUUUCCACCGGAGCUUGCUCCACCGGAAAAAAAAGAGUGGCGAACGGGUGAGUAACACGUGGGUAACCUGCCCAUCAGAAGGGGAUAACACUUGGAAACAGGUGCUAAUACCGUAUAACAAUCAAAACCGCAUGGUUUUGAUUUGAAAGGCGCUUUCGGGUGUCGCUGAUGGAUGGACCCGCGGUGCAUUAGCUAGUUGGUGAGGUAACGGCUCACCAAGGCCACGAUGCAUAGCCGACCUGAGAGGGUGAUCGGCCACAUUGGGACUGAGACACGGCCCAAACUCCUACGGGAGGCAGCAGUAGGGAAUCUUCGGCAAUGGACGAAAGUCUGACCGAGCAACGCCGCGUGAGUGAAGAAGGUUUUCGGAUCGUAAAACUCUGUUGUUAGAGAAGAACAAGGAUGAGAGUAACUGUUCAUCCCUUGACGGUAUCUAACCAGAAAGCCACGGCUAACUACGUGCCAGCAGCCGCGGUAAUACGUAGGUGGCAAGCGUUGUCCGGAUUUAUUGGGCGUAAAGCGAGCGCAGGCGGUUUCUUAAGUCUGAUGUGAAAGCCCCCGGCUCAACCGGGGAGGGUCAUUGGAAACUGGGAGACUUGAGUGCAGAAGAGGAGAGUGGAAUUCCAUGUGUAGCGGUGAAAUGCGUAGAUAUAUGGAGGAACACCAGUGGCGAAAGCGGCUCUCUGGUCUGUAACUGACGCUGAGCUCGAAAGCGUGGGGAGCAAACAGGAUUAGAUACCCUGGUAGUCCACGCCGUAAACGAUGAGUGCUAAGUGUUGGAAGGGUUUCCGCCCUUCAGUGCUGCAGCUAACGCAUUAAGCACUCCGCCUGGGGAGUACGACCGCAACGUUGAAACUCAAAGGGAGUUGACUGGGGCCCGCACAACGGUGGAGCAUGUGGUUUA
Molecule: ribosomal RNA, 934 nt
Filed under: Enterococcus faecium
Lineage: Bacteria; Bacillati; Bacillota; Bacilli; Lactobacillales; Enterococcaceae
Description: bacterial SSU rRNA
Rfam family: Bacterial small subunit ribosomal RNA
Source: RNAcentral